GCACCCGUAGCUCAGUUGGACAGAGCAGGGCUUUCCUAAAGCCAAGGUCGGAGGUUCGAAUCCUCCCGGGUGCG
This 74-nucleotide transfer RNA is filed under the name Phycisphaerae bacterium. RNAcentral describes it as "tRNA-Arg". It matches the Rfam family "tRNA". From Rfam's summary of the family: Transfer RNA (tRNA) molecules are approximately 80 nucleotides in length. The record is from RNAcentral. Lineage: Bacteria; Pseudomonadati; Planctomycetota; Phycisphaerae.